GACGAGCGCUGGCGGCGCGCUUAACACAUGCAAGUCGAGCGAGAACCAGGGCUUCGGCCCUGGGGACAGCGGCGAACGGGUGAGUAACACGUGGAUAACCUGCCCUCGGCACCGGGAUAGCCCGGGGAAACCCGGAUUAAUACCGGAUGGCCCGUCCAGCUCUCGAGCCGGCCGGAAAAGGUAGCUUCGGCCUCCGGCCGAGGAAGGGUCCGCGGCGGAUUAGCUUGUUGGCGGGGUAACGGCCCACCAAGGCGACGAUCCGUAGCUGGUCUGAGAGGACGAUCAGCCACACUGGGACUGAGACACGGCCCAGACUCCUACGGGAGGCAGCAGUGGGGAAUCUUGCGCAAUGGGCGAAAGCCUGACGCAGCGACGCCGCGUGAGGGAAGAAGGCCUUCGGGUUGUAAACCUCUUUCAGGAGGGACGAAGCUACUCGGGUGAACAGCCCAGAGGGUGACGGUACCUCCAGAAGAAGCCCCGGCUAACUACGUGCCAGCAGCCGCCGCAG
This 508-nucleotide ribosomal RNA is filed under the name uncultured bacterium. Its description in RNAcentral is "partial 16S ribosomal RNA". It matches the Rfam family "Bacterial small subunit ribosomal RNA", at positions 28 to 523 of the family's 1533-position model. The record is from RNAcentral.